RNAcentral lists this ribosomal RNA (500 nucleotides) under uncultured bacterium. RNAcentral's name for it is "bacterial SSU rRNA". It matches the Rfam family "Bacterial small subunit ribosomal RNA", at positions 29 to 509 of the family's 1533-position model. The record is from RNAcentral.
AGCGAACGCUGGCGGCGUGCCUAACACAUGCAAGUCGAACGGUUCUGUUGGGGGCUUGCUCUCGACAGAGUAGUGGCAAACGGGUGAGUAACACGUGGGUAAUCUUCCUUCGAGUGAGGAAUAACUUCGGGAAACCGGAGCUAAUACCGCAUAACAUCUUGGAACGGCAGUUUCAAGAUCAAAGGGGGCGCAAGCUCCCGCUUGAAGUUGAGCUCGCGUCCUAUCAGCUAGUUGGUGAGGUAAUGGCUCACCAAGGCUCCGACGGGUAGCCGGCCUGAGAGGGUGGCCGGCCACACUGGGACUGAGACACGGCCCAGACUCCUACGGGAGGCAGCAGUGGGGAAUAUUGCGCAAUGGACGAAAAUCUGACGCAGCGACGCCGCGUGGGUGAUGAAGGCCUUCGGGUCGUAAAGCCCUGUUGAGGGAGAGAAAGCUACUGUCGGUAAUACCGGCAGUGGUGAUAGUAUCCCUAGAGAAAGGACACCGGCUAACUACGUGCC